AUCACUCCUCUAAUUUCUUCCCAUUAUGAAGUAUACUCAUCGCACAUCACUCCAUCACUUUGGCUAAUAUACUUGCAUAUUGCUAGAUUUACUUGAAUGCAUUGACUAAGAAAGCUUAUUGUCUUGUUCUAAUGGAUGAUUUCGGUGAUCUUAAUAUCACAUUACCUUGGCUACAUGUUUUGCUUGAACUGGAGUCUAACAUGUUGGAGUGUGGGCACAUGAUUAUUUCUUUUCCCUGUUGUGCACAUAGUACGCGCAAGGCUGAGUGUUAUCACAAUGUUAGUCCAUUUUGUUUUGUCGCAAUUUGUCUCUCUAGCUUAAAUUUAGAUGUUCUCUUCGUAAUCAGUCGUAGGGUUUUAUCUCUUAGUAAUUUUGUUUUUUUUCUUGCUCGAUUUGCAUUUUAGAUAGAAAUUUAGUUUUUUUCCUUUCUUGGUCUACAAACUCUCACGGCAUGCAUGAAAAUAUGGUAUGAUAGAUUUUAGUUUGCAGAGAUGAUGGUUUACUUAUCAUAUCAAAUCUUUUUUUUUGCCUUAUUCACGUGUACUUUUAUUCUCUAUCUUCCUUAGUCAAUAGACAUGCAAAAUUUUGUAUUGGUUCUCUUUCCUUUUGCAGGUAUGAUAUCUUGAUUCACCAAGAUUUUGAACUUCUGCCGAGAUUAUCUUUUAGAGUUAUUUUCUGUUUUGGUUUCUUUCCUUUAUUGGAUUAGGGUUACUUGCAUAUCUAUCUCUAUAUAACCGUCCUUCUAUCGAGCUUACUUUUGUCUCUAUCCCUCUCCAUUCUCUUCUUCUUUCACCUUGGUUGUUUAGUGUGUAGGUUUUUGUCGUCAUGGUUAGAGUUCGUCAUUCAAGAAGAGACAUGCAUGAAGCUCGGGCUGAGGCCGAGCGCCUGAACCAGGAGAUGGAUGAAUGCCGCGCUACUGCUGCCGCCGCUGCUCCUGUCACCGUAGCGACCUCACACAGGCCUUCUCACGGCUUGGUGUUCAUCUGCAAGCACAAGUUGAUCGAAUCCAACAAAUUCAUCUCUUAAAUCAUGAAAGUAUUACCGCCCAACUAUCCCGACUCGAACUUGUGGUUAGUGUGCUUAGUGAUCUCGGUGUGGAAUCUCAAGAGAUGCUUUCCAGGCAGUUUGUUUCGCCAGGUUCCUGCACCUGCGAAUGAUGAUCUUGCCGGCCGUCGCCGGAGCGGGCGGUUGGCUCUUCGUCGAAGUGGCUAGGGGUUUCUGUGUUGUCCAUCUUUGUCCUCCUUUGCCCUCCAUCAACUUAGGGGGAGAAAUCAAGUAGCAUGCAUGCAUGCAUGCAUCAAGUUAUAAUGUUUUUUAAUUAUAGUUUUUUUAGUUUAAACUAUUGUCUCUUGCAUGAGAUUAUGAACUUAGUUUGCUUUGGUUUGUAAUAAGUACUAUGCACACAACCUCUUGAAUUAUUUGUUAUAGUUUGGUGUUUUAUUUUUGAAACCUAUGAUCUAGUCAUUUGAUUUCUUGAAAAUGAUGAUCAUUGAUUCUUGAAAUCAAGUGACCUAUUUUCGUUUUCGAAAAUAGUGAGAGGUUUCGAUAGAUUAUGGUUGUUUGUUUUCAAUUUCAU
This 1576-nucleotide long non-coding RNA is filed under the name Fragaria vesca (wild strawberry). RNAcentral's name for it is "long non-coding RNA (FVES_LNC004521)". The record is from RNAcentral. Lineage: Eukaryota; Viridiplantae; Streptophyta; Magnoliopsida; Rosales; Rosaceae.